CAGCAGCCGCGGUAAUACGUAGGGUGCAAGCGUUAAUCGGAAUUACUGGGCGUAAAGCGUGCGCAGGCGGUUAUAUAAGACAGAUGUGAAAUCCCCGGGCUCAACCUGGGAACUGCAUUUGUGACUGUAUAGCUAGAGUACGGCAGAGGGGGAUGGAAUUCCGCGUGUAGAAGUGAAAUGCGUAGAUAUGCGGAGGAACACCGAUGGCGAAGGCAAUCCCCUGGGCCUGUACUGACGCUCAUGCACGAAAGCGUGGGGAGCAAACAGGAUUAGAUACCCCCGUAGUCCCUGUCUCUUAUAC
Molecule: ribosomal RNA, 301 nt
Filed under: uncultured bacterium
Lineage: Bacteria
Description: partial 16S ribosomal RNA
Rfam family: Bacterial small subunit ribosomal RNA
Source: RNAcentral